AAACAUCUCAAAAGGAUCUGAGGAAAUUAAGUAUGAACUUGUGUGCAGAAAGGAUUAAUUUAUAAAUAAUAACUAAUGGAUACAGUUAUCUUCUUUAUCUGUAUUUCUUUCAUACAAUGGUUCACGGCUUGAACUAGGAAGAGCUGCAAAGUCAUUGGACAAAGUCAGGUGAGCGCCGAUUUUCAAAUUCACUCUCAGCACUGUAAUUGGCUAAUAGCCUUGUCGCUGAGAAAUGGUGAGUUCUGAUUGGUUGAUUCGAUCAGAAGGCGGGUCAUCAACAGUUGCUCUGAUUCCGACCGACAGGCAGCAGCAGCUCAACAUACUCGUAAUGUUUGUGGAAAAUAGUAUCCGCAGCUAUAUCGAAGAUGAGGGAAUAAAGAGACCACAUGCAUCAUCUGUAUACACCCAGCACCCAGGAAUGUCUGAUUUCUCUGUUCUGCACCAGCCUUAUGCAUGCCCCUCUGAACUCAAAAAGAUCCUGGCUUCUGCAUCCAGCCCCAUUUGGUCCACAACUCUACCCCAGGCCUGCUCUCUCCCUCAGCCAAGUGGAGUCCCUACAAAACGUAAAUAGUAUUUAGUUUACAGAUUUGUUACAUGCAUUAUUUGUUGUAUUUUGGUAGAAAGUAUUUUGCUAAAAUAUGUGUGUGCAAACAAAAAUAUAUGACCUGAGCUUUUUAUGCCUUUUUUCUGGUGUGUUGCAUGUGGUGCACAACUGGAGACAGGACAAAGAUUUCACCUGAUACCACGUGACGACGAGCUCAAGCACACGCAUUUUUAAAAGUGAGUUUUU
This 790-nucleotide long non-coding RNA is filed under the name Neogobius melanostomus (round goby). RNAcentral describes it as "lncRNA (ENSNMLG00000006302.1)". The record is from RNAcentral. Lineage: Eukaryota; Metazoa; Chordata; Actinopteri; Gobiiformes; Gobiidae.